CCUACGGGGUGCUGCAGUGGGGAAUAUUGGACAAUGGGCGAAAGCCUGAUCCAGCCAUGCCGCGUGUGUGAAGAAGGCCUUCGGGUUGUAAAGCACUUUCAGUGGGGAAGAAAGCCUUGGGGCUAAUACCCUCGAGGAAGGACAUCACCCACAGAAGAAGCACCGGCUAACUCCGUGCCAGCAGCCGCGGUAAUACGGAGGGUGCGAGCGUUAAUCGGAAUUACUGGGCGUAAAGCGCGCGUAGGCGGUCUGAUAAGCCGGUUGUGAAAGCCCCGGGCUCAACCUGGGAACGGCAUCCGGAACCGUCAGGCUAGAGUGCAGGAGAGGAAGGUAGAAUUCCCGGUGUAGCGGUGAAAUGCGUAGAGAUCGGGAGGAAUACCAGUGGCGAAGGCGGCCUUCUGGACUGACACUGACGCUGAGGUGCGAAAGCGUGGGUAGCAAACAGGAUUAGAUACCCGGGUAGUC
RNAcentral lists this ribosomal RNA (465 nucleotides) under Vreelandella stevensii. RNAcentral's name for it is "partial 16S ribosomal RNA". It matches the Rfam family "Bacterial small subunit ribosomal RNA", at positions 338 to 795 of the family's 1533-position model. The record is from RNAcentral. Lineage: Bacteria; Pseudomonadati; Pseudomonadota; Gammaproteobacteria; Oceanospirillales; Halomonadaceae.